CCCUUAGAUGUUCUGGGCCGCACGCGCGCUACACUGAUGCAUUCAACGAGUCUAAAACCUGCUCUGAUAGGGGUGGGUAAUCUUUUGAAUGUGCAUCGUGAUUGGGAUAGAUGAUUGCAAUUUUUCAUCUUCAACGAGGAAUGCCUAGUAAACGCAAGUCAUCAGCUUGCAUUGAUUACGUCCCUGCCCUUUGUACACACCGCCCGUCGCUCCUACCGAUUGGGUGUGCUGGUGAAAUGUUCGGAUCGGCCGUUUGUCGCGGUUUCCGCGGCUCGUGGCUGAGAAGUUCAUUAAACCCUCCCACCUAGAGGAAGGAGAAGUCGUAACA
RNAcentral lists this ribosomal RNA (328 nucleotides) under uncultured eukaryote. Its description in RNAcentral is "partial 18S ribosomal RNA". It matches the Rfam family "Eukaryotic small subunit ribosomal RNA", at positions 1470 to 1796 of the family's 1831-position model. The record is from RNAcentral.